UUCGUAGGGUGCGAGCGUUGUCCGGAAUUAUUGGGCGUAAAGAGCUUGUAGGUGGUUUGUCGCGUCUGCUGUGAAAAUCCGAGGCUCAACCUCGGACCUGCAGUGGGUACGGGCAGACUAGAGUGUGGUAGGGGAGACUGGAAUUCCUGGUGUAGCGGUGGAAUGCGCAGAUAUCAGGAGGAACACCAAUAGCGAAGGCAGCUCGCUGGGACGUUACUGACACUGAGGCGCGAAAGCGUGGGGAGCGAACAGG
RNAcentral lists this ribosomal RNA (253 nucleotides) under uncultured bacterium. RNAcentral's name for it is "partial 16S ribosomal RNA". It matches the Rfam family "Bacterial small subunit ribosomal RNA", at positions 524 to 776 of the family's 1533-position model. The record is from RNAcentral.